Long non-coding RNA from Poecile atricapillus (Black-capped chickadee), 846 nucleotides. RefSeq lists it as uncharacterized. NCBI's taxonomy places the organism in Eukaryota, Metazoa, Chordata, Aves, Passeriformes, Paridae. The record is from RefSeq and is a predicted model, not a curated record. The transcript has 4 exons.
AACCAGAAUUGAGGCACCAGAGAUACCAAGUGCUAUCUUUGAAAAAUGGACUUUUAAAAAACAUGCUCCUGAGGCACACUGCAAGUACUCGGAGUCCACUCCUGCUACCCCUUGUCACACCCUGUGAUACUGUACAGCAAUUCUCUCUCCAUCUAAAAAUGAUCCACUGAGCUGUUUGCAGAGUAAGAUACACCAAGGACAAGAUAAUCAUUCAAUCUGUGUGCCCAGUCAGAGACGCAGUGGAUACAGGAUACAUAAUUUUUACAGACUUAAACAGUGAGAAGACAUUACAUGCCUAAAAUGAAGUAGCUCAAAGAAAAAUUCACCAAUGCCCCAAAUUCACCAAAAAUGCCCCAAAGAAAGGGCAGGCUGACUUGGAAAACCAGGAGCCAUCUCUACUCCUACCAGCUGGAGUUUCUCCCACUUCUACAGCUAUUAAAGUUAUGAAAUGUUUGGAUGUUUUACUAAUUCUAUUAAGAACCAGAAAGGCUGUUCCCACCAUGACCAGAAAAUGAAACAGCAGCAAUCACAUGGGAAAAUGCUCAACUUCCCAGACUCAGCAGUUUUAUUAGUGCAAAUACCCUCCAGACAGACAGCCACACAUUUUCCUGCUUCCUUACACUGAACCCUAACUCAGCCUGGGGUGGCUAAGCUGGUGCUACUAACCUUCCUCUCCAGCUCAUUUCACCUGCAAGAAGGAAUGGCCUGCUGAUGAGGAUUUUGACCAAGGAUUCUAACACGUUUGUUGUUUAUUUUGUCUCUCUUUCUUUUGUGGAUUGCCUGAACAACUUUGGGCAAGUUGUUAAUUCUGUUGGUGUCCCAGCUCCCCAGCUAUGAAAUGGAAAU